This 22-nucleotide microRNA is filed under the name Cordylochernes scorpioides. The record is from RNAcentral. Lineage: Eukaryota; Metazoa; Arthropoda; Arachnida; Pseudoscorpiones; Chernetidae.
AAAGUUCUUCAGAGAUUGGGUA